AGAGUUUGAUUAUGGCUCAGAGUGAACGCUGGCGGCGUGCUUAACACAUGCAAGUCGAACGAGAGCGGAACUAGCUUGCUAGUUUGUCAGCUAAGUGGCGCACGGGUGAGUAAUGUAUAGUUAAUUUGCCUCUUAGAGGGGGAUAGCCACUGGAAACGGUGAUUAAUACCCCAUACUCCUUCUAUGUUAAUCAUAGUUGGGAAAUGUUUUUUCGCUAAGAGAUAAGACUAUAUGGUAUCAGGUAGUUGGUGGGGUAAGAGCCUACCAAGCCAAUGACGCCUAGCUGGUCUGAGAGGAUGAUCAGCCACACUGGAACUGAGACACGGUCCAGACUCCUACGGGAGGCAGCAGUGGGGAAUAUUGCACAAUGGAGGAAACUCUGAUGCAGCAACGCCGCGUGGAGGAUGACGCAUUUCGGUGUGUAAACUCCUUUUAUAUGGGAAGAUAAGGNGGG
Molecule: ribosomal RNA, 454 nt
Filed under: uncultured Campylobacterota bacterium
Lineage: Bacteria; Pseudomonadati; Campylobacterota
Description: bacterial SSU rRNA
Rfam family: Bacterial small subunit ribosomal RNA
Source: RNAcentral